CCUACGGGAGGCAGCAGUGAGGAAUAUUGGUCAAUGGGCUUACGCCUGAACCAGCCAAGUCGCGUGAGGGAAGACUGCCCUAUGGGUUGUAAACCUCUUUUGUCAGGGAGCAACGCCGGCUACGUGUAGCCGGACUGAGAGUACCUGCAGAAAAAGCCUCGGCUAACUCCGUGCCAGCAGCCGCGGUAAUACGGAGGAUGCGAGCGUUAUCCGGAUUUAUUGGGUUUAAAGGGUGCGUAGGCGGAAUGCCAAGUCAGCGGUAAAAUCGCGGGGCUCAACCUCGCUCCGCCGUUGAACCUGGCGUGCUUGAGUGGGCGAGAAGUAUGCGGAAUGCGUGGUGUAGCGGUGAAAUGCAUAGAUAUCACGCAGAACUCCGAUUGCGAAGGCAGCAUACCGGCGCCCAACUGACGCUGAAGCACGAAAGCGUGGGUAUCGAACAGGAUUAGAUACCCCAGUAGUC
RNAcentral lists this ribosomal RNA (460 nucleotides) under uncultured bacterium. Its description in RNAcentral is "partial 16S ribosomal RNA". It matches the Rfam family "Bacterial small subunit ribosomal RNA", at positions 338 to 795 of the family's 1533-position model. The record is from RNAcentral.